AAAUCCCUGCCUGGUACGUGGAUCGGGCCAAACACACUCUGACCCAUUACUAGAUAGAUAUGGGAGCUCGAAUCUGCUGGCGCCCAAAAGCCUCCUCGAGGGGACUUGGAAGACAGUUGCUAGAGCACCCCGCUUUGUUCUUCUGGAACAGAGUCAGGCACCGUCACGGCUGGGCGGGGUUUUC
RNAcentral lists this non-coding RNA (184 nucleotides) under Lentisphaerota bacterium. RNAcentral describes it as "Lentisphaerae bacterium (anaerobic digester metagenome) 6S RNA". It matches the Rfam family "6S / SsrS RNA". From Rfam's summary of the family: E. coli 6S RNA was the first non coding RNA to be sequenced, but its function was unknown until recently. It consists of 184 nucleotides that fold into an extended hairpin structure with a large single-stranded internal bulge. The 6S RNA specifically associates with RNA polymerase holoenzyme containing the sigma70 specificity factor. Lineage: Bacteria; Pseudomonadati; Lentisphaerota. The record is from RNAcentral.